CCUGAGCGACACGACCGUACCGCAAACCGACACUGGUGCGCGAGAUGAGUAUUCUAAGGCGCUUGAGAGAACUCAGGAGAAGGAACUCGGCAAAUUGACACCGUAACUUCGGAAGAAGGUGUGCCUUUAGUAGGUGAACCUGUACAAGGGGAGCCCAAUGAGGUUGCAAAAAAUCGGUGGCUGCGACUGUUUAAUAAAAACACAGCACUCUGCAAACACGAAAGUGGACGUAUAGGGUGUGACGCCUGCCCGGUGCUGGAAGAUUAAAUGAUGGGGUGCAAGCUCUUGAUUGAAGUCCCAGUAAACGGCGGCCGUAACAAUAACGGUCCUAAGGUAGCGAAAUUCCUUGUCGGGUAAGUUCCGACCUGCACGAAUGGCGUAACGAUGGCCACACUGUCUCCUCCUGAGACUCAGCGAAGUUGAAAUGUUUGUGAUGAUGCAAUCUCCCCGCGGAAAGACGGAAAGACCCCAUGAACCUUUACUGUAGCUUUGUAUUGGACUUUGAACAGAUCUGUGUAGGAUAGGUGGGAGGCUUUGAAGUGUGGUCGCUAGAUCGCAUGGAGCCAACGUUGAAAUACCACCCUGGUGUGUUUGAGGUUCUAACCUAGGCCCGUAAUCCGGGUCGGGGACAGUGCAUGGUAGGCAGUUUGACUGGGGCGGUCUCCUCCCAAAGCGUAACGGAGGAGUUCGAAGGUACGCUAGGUACGGUCGGACAUCGUGCUAAUAGUGCAAUGGCAUAAGCGUGCUUAACUGCGAGACUGACAAGUCGAGCAGAUGCGAAAGCAGGACAUAGUGAUCCGGUGGUUCUGUAUGGAAGGGCCAUCGCUCAACGGAUAAAAGGUACUCUGGGGAUAACAGGCUGAUACCGCCCAAGAGUUCAUAUCGACGGCGGUGUUUGGCACCUCGAUGUCGGCUCAUCUCAUCCUGGGGCUGUAGCCGGUCCCAAGGGUAUGGCUGUUCGCCAUUUAAAGAGGUACGUGAGCUGGGUUUAAAACGUCGUGAGACAGUUUGGUCCCUAUCUUCCGUGGGCGCUGCAGAUUUGAGGAAGCCUGCUCCUAGUACGAGAGGACCGGAGUGGACACACCUCUGGUGUAUCGGUUGUCACGCCAGUGGCAUUGCCGAGUAGCUAUGUGUGGAAGAGAUAACCGCUGAAAGCAUCUAAGCGGGAAACUCGUUUCAAGAUGAGAUCUGCCGGGGCCUUGAGCCCCCUAAAGAGUCGUUCAAGACCAGGACGUUGAUAGGUCGGGUGUGGAAGCGCAGUAAUGCGUUAAGCUAACCGAUACUAAUUGCUCGUGCGGCUUGACCU
This 1306-nucleotide ribosomal RNA is filed under the name metagenome. RNAcentral's name for it is "bacterial LSU rRNA". It matches the Rfam family "Bacterial large subunit ribosomal RNA", at positions 1628 to 2925 of the family's 2925-position model. The record is from RNAcentral.